This 774-nucleotide ribosomal RNA is filed under the name uncultured Neocallimastigales. Its description in RNAcentral is "partial large subunit ribosomal RNA". It matches the Rfam family "Eukaryotic large subunit ribosomal RNA", at positions 24 to 635 of the family's 3401-position model. The record is from RNAcentral. Lineage: Eukaryota; Fungi; Neocallimastigomycota; Neocallimastigomycetes; Neocallimastigales.
UAUCUCUGUAGAGUCUGCAUAUCAAUAAGCGGAGGAAAAGAAACUAACAAGGAUUCCCCUAGUAACGGCGAGUGAAGCGGGAAGAGCUCAAAUUUGAAAUCUUCAAGGUUUGACCUUGACGAAUUGUAGUUUAAAGAAGUGUUUUCGGUUAGAGGAGUGGUAAAAGUUCUUUGGAAUAGGACAUCAUAGAGGGUGAGAAUCCCGUAUUUGACCAUUAUUUCCUAGCUUUGUGAUACACUUUCAAAGAGUCGGAUUGUUUGGGAAUGCAGUCCAAAAUGGGUGGUAAAUUUCAUCUAAAGCUAAAUAUCGGCGAGAGACCGAUAGCGAACAAGUACCGUGAGGGAAAGAUGAAAAGAACUUUGAAAAGAGAGUUAAACAGUACGUGAAAUUGUCAAAAGGGAAGCGUUUGACACCAGUGUUGUUUUUCCGAAAAUCAAUUAAAAAUGGAUUCAUGCUAAGUUGUAUUGACCUUAUCAGCUUGCAAUUUAGUUUUGGGUUUCUUUUUGAUGCACUUUUCGGUUAACAAGUCAACAUCAAUUUCCUUUGCUGUAAAAAGGCAGGAGGAAGGUGGCUUCAAUUUCGGUUGAAGUGUUUAUAGCCUUCUGUCUCUGCAGUCGGGGAGAUUGAGGUCUGCAGCGUAGAUCCUUCGGGGCUAGAUACAUUCGUGCUAAGUUAUAGCCUUUUAUAGACAACUUGUUGACUAUGAUUGGUCUUGUAAUUUACUCGCGAGUGCUAUUUUACCUACGCUUAGGAUGUUGAUCUACAGAGCGAGAU